GCCUUCGUAGUUCAAUGGAUAGAACAACCCCCUCCUAAGGGGUAGAUGUAGGUUCGAUUCCUUCCGAAGGUA
Molecule: transfer RNA, 72 nt
Filed under: Candidatus Vampirococcus lugosii
Lineage: Bacteria; Candidatus Absconditibacteriota
Description: tRNA-Arg
Rfam family: tRNA
About the family: Transfer RNA (tRNA) molecules are approximately 80 nucleotides in length. Their secondary structure includes four short double-helical elements and three loops (D, anti-codon, and T loops).
Source: RNAcentral